UUUAUGAUUGAGACAGUCGAA
This 21-nucleotide non-coding RNA is filed under the name Caenorhabditis elegans. Lineage: Eukaryota; Metazoa; Nematoda; Chromadorea; Rhabditida; Rhabditidae. The record is from RNAcentral.